This 426-nucleotide ribosomal RNA is filed under the name uncultured bacterium. RNAcentral's name for it is "bacterial SSU rRNA". It matches the Rfam family "Bacterial small subunit ribosomal RNA", at positions 42 to 472 of the family's 1533-position model. The record is from RNAcentral.
UCAGGCCUAACACAUGCAAGUCGAACGGCAGCACGGGGCAACCUGGUGGCGAGUGGCGAACGGGUGAGUAAUACAUCGGAACGUGCCCAGUCGUGGGGGAUAACGUAGCGAAAGCUACGCUAAUACCGCAUACGAUCUACGGAUGAAAGCGGGGGAUCGCAAGACCUCGCGCGAUUGGAGCGGCCGAUGGCAGAUUAGGUAGUUGGUGGGGUAAAGGCUCACCAAGCCGACGAUCUGUAGCUGGUCUGAGAGGACGACCAGCCACACUGGGACUGAGACACGGCCCAGACUCCUACGGGAGGCAGCAGUGGGGAAUUUUGGACAAUGGGCGCAAGCCUGAUCCAGCCAUUCCGCGUGCAGGAUGAAGGCCUUCGGGUUGUAAACUGCUUUUGUACGGAACGAAACGGUCCUGGUUAAUACCCGGGG